AGAGUUUGAUCAUGGCUCAGGACGAACGCUGGCGGCGUGCUUAACACAUGCAAGUCGAACGAGGUCCAUUCAGUAGCAAUACUGAUGAAGGCCGAGUGGCGAACGGGUGAGUAACACGUGAGAAACCUAUCCUGGUCUCUGGGAUAACAGUCGGAAACAACUGCUAAUACCGGAUGCCGUCGGAGCGCUGCAUGGCGCACUGACGAAAGGGUUACUGGAUCAGGAGGGUCUCGCGGCCUAUCAGCUUGUUGGUGGGGUAAUGGCCUACCAAGGCAUCGACGGGUAGCUGGUCUGAGAGGAUGAUCAGCCACACUGGGACUGAGACACGGCCCAGACUCCUACGGGAGGCAGCAGUGGGGAAUCUUGCGCAAUGGGCGAAAGCCUGACGCAGCAACGCCGCGUGCGGGAAGAAGGCCUUCGGGUUGUAAACCGCUUUCAGAAGGAACGAAACUGACGGUACUUUCAGAAGAAGGUGCGGCCAACUACGUGCCAGCAGCCGCGGUGACACGUAGGCACCAAGCGUUGUCCGGAUUUAUUGGGCGUAAAGAGCUCGUAGGCGGUUCGAUAAGUCGGGGUGUGAAAACUUUGGGCUCAACCCAAAGCGUGCAUUCGAUACUGUUGUGACUAGAGUUCGGUAGGGGGAGUGGGGAAUUCCUAGUGUAGCGGUGAAAUGCGCAGAUAUUAGGAGGAACACCGGUGGCGAAGGCGCCACUCUGGGCCGAAACUGACGCUGAGAGCGAAAGCGUGGGUAGCAAACAGGAUUAGAUACCCUAGUAGUCC
This 780-nucleotide ribosomal RNA is filed under the name uncultured bacterium. RNAcentral's name for it is "bacterial SSU rRNA". It matches the Rfam family "Bacterial small subunit ribosomal RNA", at positions 8 to 796 of the family's 1533-position model. The record is from RNAcentral.